RNAcentral lists this transfer RNA (82 nucleotides) under Paragonimus westermani. RNAcentral describes it as "tRNA-Ser". It matches the Rfam family "tRNA". From Rfam's summary of the family: Transfer RNA (tRNA) molecules are approximately 80 nucleotides in length. Lineage: Eukaryota; Metazoa; Platyhelminthes; Trematoda; Plagiorchiida; Troglotrematidae. The record is from RNAcentral.
GUCGUGGUGGCCGAGUGGUUAAGGCGUUGGACUAGAAAUCCAACGGGGUUUCCCCGCACAGGUUAGAAUCCUGCCCGCGACG